UCAAGUGAAGAAGCGCAUACGGUGGAUGCCUUGGCAGUCAGAGGCGAUGAAAGACGUGGUAGCCUGCGAAAAGCUUCGGGGAGUCGGCAAACAGACUUUGAUCCGGAGAUCUCUGAAUGGGGGAACCCACCUAGGAUAACCUAGGUAUCUUGUACUGAAUCCAUAGGUGCAAGAGGCGAACCAGGGGAACUGAAACAUCUAAGUACCCUGAGGAAAAGAAAUCAACCGAGAUUCCCUUAGUAGUGGCGAGCGAACGGGGAUUAGCCCUUAAGCUUCAUUGAUUUUAGCGGAACGCUCUGGAAAGUGCGGCCAUAGUGGGUGAUAGCCCCGUACGCGAAAGGAUCUUUGAAGUGAAAUCGAGUAGGACGGAGCACGAGAAACUUUGUCUGAACAUGGGGGGACCAUCCUCCAAGGCUAAAUACUACUGACUGACCGAUAGUGAACCAGUACCGUGAGGGAAAGGCGAAAAGAACCCCGGAGAGGGGAGUGAAAUAGAACCUGAAACCGUAUGCGUACAAGCAGUGGGAGCCUACUUGUUAGGUGACUGCGUACCUUUUGUAUAAUGGGUCAGCGACUUAUAUUCAGUGGCAAGCUUAACCGUAUAGGGUAGGCGUAGCGAAAGCGAGUCUUAAUAGGGCGUUUAGUCGCUGGGUAUAGACCCGAAACCGGGCGAUCUAUCCAUGAGCAGGUUGAAGGUUAGGUAACACUGACUGGAGGACCGAACCCACUCCCGUUGAAAAGGUAGGGGAUGACUUGUGGAUCGGAGUGAAAGGCUAAUCAAGCUCGGAGAUAGCUGGUUCUCCUCGAAAGCUAUUUAGGUAGCGCCUCAUGUAUCACUCUGGGGGGUAGAGCACUGUUUCGGCUAGGGGGUCAUCCCGACUUACCAAACCGAUGCAAACUCCGAAUACCCAGAAGUGCCGAGCAUGGGAGACACACGGCGGGUGCUAACGUCCGUCGUGAAAAGGGAAACAACCCAGACCGCCAGCUAAGGUCCCAAAGUUGUGGUUAAGUGGUAAACGAUGUGGGAAGGCUUAGACAGCUAGGAGGUUGGCUUAGAAGCAGCCACCCUUUAAAGAAAGCGUAAUAGCUCACUAGUCGAGUCGGCCUGCGCGGAAGAUGUAACGGGGCUCAAACCACACACCGAAGCUGCGGGUGUCACGUAAGUGACGCGGUAGAGGAGCGUUCUGUAAGCCUGUGAAGGUGAGUUGAGAAGCUUGCUGGAGGUAUCAGAAGUGCGAAUGCUGACAUGAGUAACGACAAUGGGUGUGAAAAACACCCACGCCGAAAGACCAAGGGUUCCUGCGCAACGUUAAUCGACGCAGGGUUAGUCGGUUCCUAAGGCGAGGCUGAAAAGCGUAGUCGAUGGGAAACAGGUUAAUAUUCCUGUACUUCUGGUUACUGCGAUGGAGGGACGGAGAAGGCUAGGCCAGCUUGGCGUUGGUUGUCCAAGUUUAAGGUGGUAGGCUGAAAUCUUAGGUAAAUCCGGGGUUUCAAGGCCGAGAGCUGAUGACGAGUCGUCUUUUAGAUGACGAAGUGGUUGAUGCCAUGCUUCCAAGAAAAGCUUCUAAGCUUCAGGUAACCAGGAACCGUACCCCAAACCGACACAGGUGGUCGGGUAGAGAAUACCAAGGCGCUUGAGAGAACUCGGGUGAAGGAACUAGGCAAAAUGGCACCGUAACUUCGGGAGAAGGUGCGCCGGCUAGGGUGAAGGAUUUACUCCGUAAGCUCUGGCUGGUCGAAGAUACCAGGCCGCUGCGACUGUUUAUUAAAAACACAGCACUCUGCAAACACGAAAGUGGACGUAUAGGGUGUGACGCCUGCCCGGUGCCGGAAGGUUAAUUGAUGGGGUUAGCGCAAGCGAAGCUCUUGAUCGAAGCCCCGGUAAACGGCGGCCGUAACUAUAACGGUCCUAAGGUAGCGAAAUUCCUUGUCGGGUAAGUUCCGACCUGCACGAAUGGCGUAACGAUGGCGGCGCUGUCUCCACCCGAGACUCAGUGAAAUUGAAAUCGCUGUGAAGAUGCAGUGUAUCCGCGGCUAGACGGAAAGACCCCGUGAACCUUUACUGUAGCUUUGCACUGGACUUUGAGCCUGCUUGUGUAGGAUAGGUGGGAGGCUUUGAAGCGUGGACGCCAGUUCGCGUGGAGCCAUCCUUGAAAUACCACCCUGGCAUGCUUGAGGUUCUAACUCUGGUCCGUAAUCCGGAUCGAGGACAGUGUAUGGUGGGCAGUUUGACUGGGGCGGUCUCCUCCUAAAGAGUAACGGAGGAGUACGAAGGUGCGCUCAGACCGGUCGGAAAUCGGUCGUAGAGUAUAAAGGCAAAAGCGCGCUUGACUGCGAGACAGACACGUCGAGCAGGUACGAAAGUAGGUCUUAGUGAUCCGGUGGUUCUGUAUGGAAGGGCCAUCGCUCAACGGAUAAAAGGUACUCCGGGGAUAACAGGCUGAUACCGCCCAAGAGUUCAUAUCGACGGCGGUGUUUGGCACCUCGAUGUCGGCUCAUCACAUCCUGGGGCUGAAGCCGGUCCCAAGGGUAUGGCUGUUCGCCAUUUAAAGUGGUACGCGAGCUGGGUUUAGAACGUCGUGAGACAGUUCGGUCCCUAUCUGCCGUGGACGUUUGAGAUUUGAGAGGGGCUGCUCCUAGUACGAGAGGACCGGAGUGGACGAACCUCUGGUGUUCCGGUUGUCACGCCAGUGGCAUUGCCGGGUAGCUAUGUUCGGAAAAGAUAACCGCUGAAAGCAUCUAAGCGGGAAACUUGCCUCAAGAUGAGAUCUCACUGGGAACUUGAUUCCCCUGAAGGGCCGUCGAAGACUACGACGUUGAUAGGCUGGGUGUGUAAGCGUUGUGAGGCGUUGAGCUAACCAGUACUAAUUGCCCGUGAGGCUUGACCA
RNAcentral lists this ribosomal RNA (2888 nucleotides) under Pseudomonas aeruginosa. Its description in RNAcentral is "bacterial LSU rRNA". It matches the Rfam family "Bacterial large subunit ribosomal RNA". The record is from RNAcentral. Lineage: Bacteria; Pseudomonadati; Pseudomonadota; Gammaproteobacteria; Pseudomonadales; Pseudomonadaceae.